CAAGCAUUCCUGGCUCCGUGUAGCUGAGAACUCCUACCCCAACAAGUUGUUUACAACUAAUAGCUUUGAGGAGAAGAACUGUCACAUGCUGUACUAGCCAAAGAAGGAUACUGUUUUCACAAAAUUUUAUGAUGUAAAAUUCUUUUUUAGUGUGUGAUUAUUUGCAUAUACUCAACAGUCUACAGAAUUCAAGGAUUUGCUCAAGUUUGCUUUUUGUUCAUGUAAAGAAAGAUAUCUCCUAUGAAAUGGCAUUCAUUGCUUCCUCUCUCAGACUCAUCUCUCCCAUUCCCCUUUCUCUGAGCCUCUGACAUUUUCAGUGCUCCUGUGCCAAAAUAAUUGCCUGAUUCCUUCUCGAGUUAUGAAUCUUAAAACCCAAAUUAGUUGGAGGGCUUUGCCUAGUUCAGGUCACCAAUAAUCAUCACAAAUACAUAUUCCAUCUCUACAAUGAUGAUAGCAGUUGACAUCUCUAACAACAAUUUCCCUUUCUGUAAUUUUUGAGGUGAACUUGAUUGCAACGUGGCAAUCAUCGCAAAUUUUAAGGUUCUUUGUGAUCAACAGUAUCGUUCCAGGGGGAGUGCUGAUCAAUCCAAAUGCAAUUGCCAACCUCUGGCUGUGACUACGGGUCAUGCUGAUCUUCUCAUCAUCCCCCACAUCAUGGAAAACUGACCCAGUGCUAGGUACACACCCAGCAUCUGCCAUUCGCCCUUCCAACCUCUUUAAUUCAGCAUAUAUUUCUCAGGAUAAGGAUGUGAAGUAUUCCCUGAAAGAAAUGCAUGAACUUUGUUUUUCACAUCAAUCCAGCUACAAGCAGUGCUCUUCUUCAGACCCCUAUCUGUCAUUAUUUUUCUCAGCUUUGCAACUCCAUCCCACUUCCCUGUCUGAGCAUAAAUGUUUGAUAAAAUUACAUAGUUGCCAGUAUCACCAGGUUCUAGUUCAAUCAGCUUCUCUAGUGCCAAUUCCCCAAACUCUACAUUCCCAUGGAUUUUACACGAAUUCAAAAAAGUGCCCCAUACACCAGCAUCAGGCACCACUCUCAUCUGCAUUAUAAGGUCGUAAGCCUCAACCAACCGACCAGAAUGGCCUAGGGGAUCAACCAUACAUGUAUAAUGCUGAAUUGUUGGUUCAAUAUGAUAAUCUCUUACCACUGAUUCAAAAAACAACCAACCUUUGUCAAGCAAACCGCCAUGGCUCCAAGCUGACAAAACACCUGCAAAUGUUAUGUGAUCAGGUUUUGCCUCUUUCCUCAUUUUCUCAAACAAGUCUAGCGCUUAGUUAGAAUGACCAUGCAUUGCAUACCCGGUAAUCAUUGCAUUCCAAGACACGACCCUUUUCUCCCUAAGCUGCUCAAACAAAUUCUGUGCAGCCUUCACAGAACCACACUUGGCAUACAUAUCUAGCAAUGAGGUUUUCACCUUGUCAUUAGACUCGAAUCUCCAUCUCCACGCAAACCCAUGAAGCUCCCUCCCUUGAGGAAGGGCUGCAAUGUCAGCUGAGGCUGAGAUGACGGUUACAAGAGUUGCCUCAGUAGGCCAUAAACCCGCCAACACCAUUUUACUACACAAAGCAAGUGACUCGUCUUGUUUCCCGUUCUGUGAAUAUGCAGCAAGCAUAGAAUUCCACAGAACAGCAUCUCUUACCGAAAUCUUGUCAAAAAUUUCGCGUGCAUUUUCCACACAACCACACUUGGCAUACAUGUCAAUCAACGCUGCACCCACAAACACAUCCCUCUCCCACCCAGUUCUCAUCACUUGCUGAUGAAUCUUCCUCCCAUCCUCAACAGCUGACAAAGCUGAACAUGCUUUAAGCACGAAAGGAAAAGUAAAAUUAUCAGGAACUAACCCAUACUCAAACAUUCUAUAAUAAAGCUCGAUUGCAACUUGGUAAGGACCAUACCACGCAUAACCCCGACUCAAGACAUUCCAUAGAAACAAAUUACCUUUAGGAAUUUUAUCAAAUAACAGGUGGGCUUCACGCAAAGAAUUGCAAACGCAAUACAGAUUAACUAAUUUAGUAGCUAAAACUCAGUCUAAUCCCAGACCCAUAUGGCACAAGCAAGCAUGAAGUUGUUUGCCAGUGAUAAGGGUCUUUUGGGUGAUGCAUGAUUGGAGAAGCGAUGCAUAAUAGGAAGGCGUAUGGCUGGAAGAGAAAGGAAAUGUAAUUUGGGAUUUAGGAUUGCUGGGAAUGGGUUCAAGAGUAGUUGGAGGGUGAAGCGAGUGAAAUGGGAACUGAGUUUGCAGAGGUGAAGGCAAAGAUUGGG
RNAcentral lists this unclassified non-coding RNA (2257 nucleotides) under Hevea brasiliensis (rubber tree). The record is from RNAcentral. Lineage: Eukaryota; Viridiplantae; Streptophyta; Magnoliopsida; Malpighiales; Euphorbiaceae.